RNAcentral lists this ribosomal RNA (253 nucleotides) under uncultured bacterium. Its description in RNAcentral is "partial 16S ribosomal RNA". It matches the Rfam family "Bacterial small subunit ribosomal RNA", at positions 524 to 776 of the family's 1533-position model. The record is from RNAcentral.
UACGUAGGGAGCAAGCGUUGUCCGGAAUCAUUGGGCGUAAAGCGCGCGUAGGCGGCCUGUUAAGUCGAACGUGAAAUCCCCGGGCUCAACCCGGGAACUGCGUCCGAUACUGGCAGGCUUGAAUCCGGGAGAGGGAUGCGGAAUUCCAGGUGUAGCGGUGAAAUGCGUAGAUAUCGUGAGGAACACCAGAGGCGAAGGCGGCUACCUGGACAAUUGCUGACGCUCAGGCACGAAAGCGUGGGGAGCAAAAGGG